GACGAACGCUGGCGGCGUGCUUAACACAUGCAAGUCGAACGGAAAGGCCCUGCUUUUGUGGGGUGCUCGAGUGGCGAACGGGUGGGUAACACGUGAGUAACCUGCCCUUGACUUUGGGAUAACUUCAGGAAACUGGGGCUAAUACCGGAUAGGAGCUCCUGCUGCAUGGUGGGGGUUGGAAAGUUUCGGCGGUUGGGGAUGGACUCGCGGCUUAUCAGCUUGUUGGUGGGGUAGUGGCUUACCAAGGCUUUGACGGGUAGCCGGCCUGAGGGUGACCGGCCACAUUGGGACUGAGAUACGGCCCAGACUCCUACGGGAGGCAGCAGUGGGGAAUAUUGCACAAUGGGCGGAAGCCUGAUGCAGCAACGCCGCGUGCGGGAUGACGGCCUUCGGGUUGUAAACCGCUUUCGCCUGUGACGAAGCGUGAGUGACGGUAAUGGGUAAAGAAGCACCGGCUAACUACGUG
This 466-nucleotide ribosomal RNA is filed under the name uncultured bacterium. RNAcentral's name for it is "partial 16S ribosomal RNA". It matches the Rfam family "Bacterial small subunit ribosomal RNA", at positions 28 to 507 of the family's 1533-position model. The record is from RNAcentral.